This 1359-nucleotide ribosomal RNA is filed under the name Salmonella enterica subsp. enterica serovar Oranienburg. RNAcentral describes it as "bacterial SSU rRNA". It matches the Rfam family "Bacterial small subunit ribosomal RNA", at positions 173 to 1533 of the family's 1533-position model. Lineage: Bacteria; Pseudomonadati; Pseudomonadota; Gammaproteobacteria; Enterobacterales; Enterobacteriaceae. RNAcentral also lists the same sequence under 3 other names. The record is from RNAcentral.
GUCGCAAGACCAAAGAGGGGGACCUUCGGGCCUCUUGCCAUCAGAUGUGCCCAGAUGGGAUUAGCUUGUUGGUGAGGUAACGGCUCACCAAGGCGACGAUCCCUAGCUGGUCUGAGAGGAUGACCAGCCACACUGGAACUGAGACACGGUCCAGACUCCUACGGGAGGCAGCAGUGGGGAAUAUUGCACAAUGGGCGCAAGCCUGAUGCAGCCAUGCCGCGUGUAUGAAGAAGGCCUUCGGGUUGUAAAGUACUUUCAGCGGGGAGGAAGGUGUUGUGGUUAAUAACCGCAGCAAUUGACGUUACCCGCAGAAGAAGCACCGGCUAACUCCGUGCCAGCAGCCGCGGUAAUACGGAGGGUGCAAGCGUUAAUCGGAAUUACUGGGCGUAAAGCGCACGCAGGCGGUCUGUCAAGUCGGAUGUGAAAUCCCCGGGCUCAACCUGGGAACUGCAUUCGAAACUGGCAGGCUUGAGUCUUGUAGAGGGGGGUAGAAUUCCAGGUGUAGCGGUGAAAUGCGUAGAGAUCUGGAGGAAUACCGGUGGCGAAGGCGGCCCCCUGGACAAAGACUGACGCUCAGGUGCGAAAGCGUGGGGAGCAAACAGGAUUAGAUACCCUGGUAGUCCACGCCGUAAACGAUGUCUACUUGGAGGUUGUGCCCUUGAGGCGUGGCUUCCGGAGCUAACGCGUUAAGUAGACCGCCUGGGGAGUACGGCCGCAAGGUUAAAACUCAAAUGAAUUGACGGGGGCCCGCACAAGCGGUGGAGCAUGUGGUUUAAUUCGAUGCAACGCGAAGAACCUUACCUGGUCUUGACAUCCACGGAAGUUUUCAGAGAUGAGAAUGUGCCUUCGGGAACCGUGAGACAGGUGCUGCAUGGCUGUCGUCAGCUCGUGUUGUGAAAUGUUGGGUUAAGUCCCGCAACGAGCGCAACCCUUAUCCUUUGUUGCCAGCGGUCCGGCCGGGAACUCAAAGGAGACUGCCAGUGAUAAACUGGAGGAAGGUGGGGAUGACGUCAAGUCAUCAUGGCCCUUACGACCAGGGCUACACACGUGCUACAAUGGCGCAUACAAAGAGAAGCGACCUCGCGAGAGCAAGCGGACCUCAUAAAGUGCGUCGUAGUCCGGAUUGGAGUCUGCAACUCGACUCCAUGAAGUCGGAAUCGCUAGUAAUCGUGGAUCAGAAUGCCACGGUGAAUACGUUCCCGGGCCUUGUACACACCGCCCGUCACACCAUGGGAGUGGGUUGCAAAAGAAGUAGGUAGCUUAACCUUCGGGAGGGCGCUUACCACUUUGUGAUUCAUGACUGGGGUGAAGUCGUAACAAGGUAACCGUAGGGGAACCUGCGGUUGGAUCACCUCCUUA